UACCAGCACCCCGAGUGGUCGGGACGUUUAUUGGGCCUAAAGCAUCCGUAGCCGGUUCUACAAGUCUUCCGUUAAAUCCGGCUGCUUAACAGAUGGGCUGCGGAAGAUACUAUGGAGCUAGGAGGCGGGAGAGGCAAGCGGUACUCGAUGGGUAGGGGUAAAAUCCGUUGAUCCAUUGAAGACCACCAGUGGCGAAGGCGGCUUGCCAGAACGCGCUCGACGGUGAGGGAUGAAAGCUGGGGGAGCAACCGG
This 252-nucleotide ribosomal RNA is filed under the name uncultured bacterium. RNAcentral describes it as "partial 16S ribosomal RNA". It matches the Rfam family "Archaeal small subunit ribosomal RNA", at positions 474 to 726 of the family's 1478-position model. The record is from RNAcentral.